GUUAAACCCCCUCCUUUACUA
This 21-nucleotide transfer RNA is filed under the name Forpus passerinus (green-rumped parrotlet). RNAcentral describes it as "partial tRNA-Met". Lineage: Eukaryota; Metazoa; Chordata; Aves; Psittaciformes; Psittacidae. The record is from RNAcentral.